RNAcentral lists this microRNA precursor (124 nucleotides) under Hordeum vulgare. RNAcentral describes it as "microRNA MIR1122". It matches the Rfam family "MIR1120/MIR1122 microRNA precursor family". Lineage: Eukaryota; Viridiplantae; Streptophyta; Magnoliopsida; Poales; Poaceae. The record is from RNAcentral.
UAACUACUCCCUCCGUCCAGAAAUACUUGUCAUAAGAAUGGAUAUAUCUACAUGUAUUUCAGUUCUAGAUAUAUCCAUUUUAUUCAUUCGUGCGACAAGUAAUUCUGGGCGGAGAGAGUAUUAC